AUUUAGAGGAGGUCUUGGGCUCCUUUGGCAUCGGGGGCACCUUUACAGAUUAUACCAUAGCUCUAUAUGGGGACUUGCAAACCAAAGUAUCAGGUUUUAUGUUUCAAUCCGACUGGUUCCCAAUCCAGAACGGGACUUGGCAGGGCUGCCCAUUAGCCCCGUUACUGUAUGUUCUUUCCAUUGAACCCCUUGCAUUAUCCAUCAGACAGAAUGCAGACAUGAAAGGUAUAACUGUUAACACAUCUGAGAUCAAGAGUACACUUUAUGCCGAUGAUGUGCUCUUGUCCCUCACAGACCCUACUAGUUCACUACCGGAAGUGUUUCAUCUGCUUGAGGAGUUUGGUAAACUUUCCGGGUACAAAGUAAAUAUAAAAAAGACACAAAUCUUGGCUAAAGCUUGAGCGGACCUAGGAUGGAUUUCCUUAAAGGGGAAAUAUAAGCUAGAUAGGGAGGCGAAAAGCAUACAUUAUCUGGGUGUACGAUUAUCUCUGGAUUGCACAGAAAUCAAUAGGCUCAACUACU
Pelobates cultripes (western spadefoot toad) is the source of this 522-nucleotide non-coding RNA. Lineage: Eukaryota; Metazoa; Chordata; Amphibia; Anura; Pelobatidae. The record is from the annotation of a GenBank genome assembly.